UGCCAGGGCCUCCUAUUGGUCAAAAUGUUACUCCAAGGGUGAAACGCAGACAGACAGCAGAAGACUAUUGGGCGGUUCGGCCGUCAGUCAAGACGGAAGACGGAAACAGCCUGUGGGGGAGGGGGAGGGCGUGAAUGAGUAGGAGCACGUGAUAUCAUGUGAACCAAUGAGCGAGCCUUUGUUCAACCCGUGGGAAGCCAUCUUGAGAGUGGGUACGUGGCGGGUCUGAUGCAGAGAAGCGUGCAUUCUGGAGAUUGCCUCCAUAUUGCAAUCGGGCAAUGGAAGCCGUUGGCCUCCAACACGAGGGUAAAGCAAGGUGCUUCGCCAUCUUAGAACCGGGCAGAAAAUCCGGUAUUGCCCUAGCUUGCUUGUGGUCACGUGGCCAAAACUUGGACUUUCCGCCGAGUUUCUCCUGGACUAGAUCGCAAGGAGAUGGAGGCCACGUGCUUCCCAGACGCAGUCACGACUAGAUUGUGAAUCAUCUCUUUCCGUCUUUUGUCUACCCGCAGCAGCCGAGCUCCACCUACGUUGCAGAAAUGGGGAAACCAAGGAAACGAACCGCCGAGUGGGUGGCUCUGCCUGUAGUUGGGGAAACGAGGCUACAAAGUAUCCAGUUGCAUUCCCAACAAAUAAACUCAGGAGCCGCAGGGUGCACUGGAGGGACAAAGCCCCGCCCUCCGGUACCUCACCCCCCAGGAGCCAGGAGUCUGCCUUUCAGUCCUGGGGGGGUCGCAGAGCGAAACAGGUUCUCCAAGGCCUACUGCAGGCUAUAAAACAGAGACACUUUGGUGGGGCUUCCAAAGGCACAAACUUCGGAUUCUUGUCGGCCUGGUUAUCUGCUAAAACAAAAACAAAAAAGGCCAGUCAAGGAGGAAAAGUUUCUCCUCCGCCUUGCACGGGAGAGCACCUGUUAAGGAAGGAUCUGCAUUAUUCAGUUCUCCCACACGGUUGGCCUGCCCAGCGCCCACCCCAGCCUUGCCAGCUGCUGUUCAUGAAUGAUUGAGAUGGAGCCCAGAACUUCAGAACUCCAGAGCCACAGCCCGUUGUCAUGAUUACUGGGGGACCCAGGGAACCUUGAAGGCUGAGACCCUCCUGUCAUAACGUCACAGAAACAAGACCUGACUAGCCUGGACCACCACACCCUGCUGCUUGUGUGUGAAUUAUAAGGUUUUUUUGUUUUUGGUUUUUUUUUUUUUUUGAGACAGGGUUUCUCUGUGUAGCCCUGGCUGUCCUGGAACUCACUCUGUAGACCAGGCUGGCCUAAGACUCUCAGAGAUCUGCCUGCCUCUGCCUCCCAAGUGCUGGGAUUAAAGGCGUGUGCC
Apodemus sylvaticus (European woodmouse) is the source of this 1322-nucleotide long non-coding RNA. RefSeq lists it as uncharacterized. NCBI's taxonomy places the organism in Eukaryota, Metazoa, Chordata, Mammalia, Rodentia, Muridae. The record is from RefSeq and is a predicted model, not a curated record. The transcript has 3 exons.